AUAAUGUCCACAUAAGCUCCUUCUGCCGAUCCUUGGAGCUUAUGAGGAUCGGCAGAAGGAGCUUAUGAGGACAUUAUUUUGAUCAUUUUAUAAUUUUUUUUAUUUUUUAUUA
Non-coding RNA from Pelobates cultripes (western spadefoot toad), 112 nucleotides. The record is from the annotation of a GenBank genome assembly. Lineage: Eukaryota; Metazoa; Chordata; Amphibia; Anura; Pelobatidae.